Molecule: unclassified non-coding RNA, 214 nt
Filed under: Hevea brasiliensis (rubber tree)
Lineage: Eukaryota; Viridiplantae; Streptophyta; Magnoliopsida; Malpighiales; Euphorbiaceae
Source: RNAcentral
UUUUUUUUUUUUUUUGUUCUUUUCACUUCAGAAGAAUAUUAGAAUGCUAUAAAAGCAAGUGCUUCCCAAAUUUUUAUAACAUUUCACUCUGAUGAAGGCCACCAGUGUACUCUUAAAUUAUUCAAACGAUCAAGACGUUUCAAUGAAAAAUUUUACGGAAUCAAUUUAAAUACAAAGCAAAAUUUCAGAAUUUGCACAAGGAUUUUUGUGACCU